This is a long non-coding RNA of Ochotona curzoniae (black-lipped pika), 408 nucleotides long. RefSeq lists it as uncharacterized. The record is from RefSeq and is a predicted model, not a curated record. The transcript has 3 exons. NCBI's taxonomy places the organism in Eukaryota, Metazoa, Chordata, Mammalia, Lagomorpha, Ochotonidae.
GAAAACUUUAGGUUUUUUGAUAUUGCCUCAAGCAUUCAUUCCUAGGAGCUUCUCAUUGCUUGGUAUGAAUGAAGAGGGGAUUCUCCAAGGAGGGAGGCUAUGAGAUCUUCUUAAAGAACAUAAACUUUAUGGAGGACAUCUGACAAAAUAUCUUCAAUGUAUCCUGAUGUGGGAUGCUGAUCAUGUUUUGAACUUCAAAUCCAAGAAAAUAUGCUUACAAUUCCUAGUGUUCCAGAUUUCAUUACAACUGAAACAAGUUGAAAGGAGGCAGGUAGAUGGGUGAGACUAACAGUCCUGGAGACAAAGAAAUGAAAACCACAUUCAGCUUAGAAAUGAUUGGAUCAGAGUUCUGAUGAUGUCAGCCUGCCCAUCAAGGAAAGGGAGACAGAAAUAUCUGUGAACAGAUCG